GACUGACCGUAAUUGGUCGGGCGCCCCCAGGGCACUCUGUACCGUUUCGUGUUUGUCAUCCUUCCAGAGAGUUGUGCCUACCGUCUCGUACGGCAGGGCGCUACGAUCUGGAUCGUUUACUUUGAAAAAAUUAGAGUGUUCCAAGCAAGCUUACGCUUUGAAUACAUUAGCAUGGAAUAAUAAUAUAGGACUUCUGUUCUAUUUUGUUGGUUUCUAGGAUGGAAGUA
Molecule: ribosomal RNA, 227 nt
Filed under: uncultured fungus
Lineage: Eukaryota; Fungi
Description: partial small subunit ribosomal RNA
Rfam family: Eukaryotic small subunit ribosomal RNA (bases 106-227)
Source: RNAcentral